AGAGUUUGAUCCUGGCUCAGAACGAACGCUGGCGGCGUGCCUAACACAUGCAAGUCGAACGGGUACAUGUUCGGCACCGUGCAUAUUUGCCUUUUAAGGGUGGAGUAUGCAGGGUGCCGGACAUGUGCUAGUGGCGCACGGGUGAGUAACACGUAGGCAACCUACCUCAGGGCGGGGGAUAACAUUCGGAAACGGGUGCUAAUACCGCGUAAGCCCACGGAUUGGGAUAUCUGUGGGAAAAGGAGCAAUCCACCUUGAGAUGGGCCUGCGGCCUAUCAGGUAGUUGGCGGGGUAACGGCCCACCAAGCCUAAGACGGGUAGCCGGUCUGAGAGGAUGAACGGCCACACUGGAACUGAGACACGGUCCAGACUCCUACGGGAGGCAGCAGUGGGGAAUUUUGCGCAAUGGGGGAAACCCUGACGCAGCGACGCCGCGUGGAGGACGAAGGCCUUCGGGUUGUAAACUCCUUUUGCCAAGGAAAAUGAUGAUGGUACUUGGCGAAUAAGCCACGGCUAACUCUGUGCCAGCAGCCGCGGUAAGACAGAGGUGGCAAGCGUUGUUCGGAAUCACUGGGCUUAAAGGGCGCGUAGGCGGCAGGGUAAGUCUAAUGUGGAAUCUUGGGGCUCAACCCCAAAACUGCAUUGGAAACUGCUUUGCUUGAGUCAGUAAGGGGAGGGCGGAAUUCCUGGUGUAGCAGUGAAAUGCGUAGAUAUCAGGAGGAAGGCCGGUGGCGAAGGCGGCCCUCUAGUGCUUGACUGACGCUGAGGCGCGAAAGCGUGGGUAGCAAACAGGAUUAGAUACCCUGGUAGUCC
RNAcentral lists this ribosomal RNA (813 nucleotides) under uncultured bacterium. Its description in RNAcentral is "bacterial SSU rRNA". It matches the Rfam family "Bacterial small subunit ribosomal RNA", at positions 8 to 796 of the family's 1533-position model. The record is from RNAcentral.